Molecule: ribosomal RNA, 497 nt
Filed under: uncultured bacterium
Lineage: Bacteria
Description: partial 16S ribosomal RNA
Rfam family: Bacterial small subunit ribosomal RNA
Source: RNAcentral
GAUGAACGCUGGCGGCGUGCCUAAUACAUGCAAGUCGAGCGAACGGACGAGAAGCUUGCUUUUCUGAUGUUAGCGGCGGACGGGUGAGUAACACGUGGAUAACCUACCUAUAAGACUGGGAUAACUUCGGGAAACCGGAGCUAAUACCGGAUAAUAUUUUGAACCGCAUGGUUCAAAAGUGAAAGACGGUCUUGCUGUCACUUAUAGAUGGAUCCGCGCUGCAUUAGCUAGUUGGUAAGGUAACGGCUUAACAAGGCAACGAUGCAUAGCCGACCUGAGAGGGUGAUCGGCCACACUGGAACUGAGACACGGUCCAGACUCCUACGGGAGGCAGCAGUAGGGAAUCUUCCGCAAUGGGCGAAAGCCUGACGGAGCAACGCCGCGUGAGUGAUGAAGGUCUUCGGAUCGUAAAACUCUGUUAUUAGGGAAGAACAUAUGUGUAAGUAACUGUGCACAUCUUGACGGUACCUAAUCAGAAAGCCACGGCUAACUACGUA